RNAcentral lists this transfer RNA (72 nucleotides) under Equus caballus (horse). It matches the Rfam family "tRNA". From Rfam's summary of the family: Transfer RNA (tRNA) molecules are approximately 80 nucleotides in length. Their secondary structure includes four short double-helical elements and three loops (D, anti-codon, and T loops). Further hydrogen bonds mediate the characteristic L-shaped molecular structure. tRNAs have two regions of fundamental functional importance: the anti-codon, which is responsible for specific mRNA codon recognition, and the 3' end, to which the tRNAs corresponding amino acid is attached (by aminoacyl-tRNA synthetases). tRNAs cope with the degeneracy of the genetic code in two manners: having more than one tRNA (with a specific anti-codon) for a particular amino acid; and 'wobble' base-pairing, i.e. permitting non-standard base-pairing at the 3rd anti-codon position. Lineage: Eukaryota; Metazoa; Chordata; Mammalia; Perissodactyla; Equidae. The record is from Rfam by way of RNAcentral.
GCCCUUAUGGUCUAGUGGUUAAGACUCGGUACUCUCACCGCCAUAGCCUGGGUUCGUUUCCCAGUCAGGGAA